Molecule: microRNA, 21 nt
Filed under: Monodelphis domestica (gray short-tailed opossum)
Lineage: Eukaryota; Metazoa; Chordata; Mammalia; Didelphimorphia; Didelphidae
Description: mdo-miR-12391-5p
Source: miRBase by way of RNAcentral
GAGGCUCCCCGCAUACCUCAG